AGUGAACGCUGGCGGUAGGCCUAACACAUGCAAGUCGAACGGCAGCACAGUAAGAGCUUGCUCUUACGGGUGGCGAGUGGCGGACGGGUGAGGAAUACAUCGGAAUCUACUUUUUCGUGGGGGAUAACGUAGGGAAACUUACGCUAAUACCGCAUACGACCUACGGGUGAAAGCAGGGGAUCUUCGGACCUUGCGCGAUUGAAUGAGCCGAUGUCGGAUUAGCUAGUUGGCGGGGUAAAGGCCCACCAAGGCGACGAUCCGUAGCUGGUCUGAGAGGAUGAUCAGCCACACUGGAACUGAGACACGGUCCAGACUCCUACGGGAGGCAGCAGUGGGGAAUAUUGGACAAUGGGCGCAAACCUGAUCCAGCCAUACCGCGUGGGUGAAGAAGGCCUUCGGGUUGUAAAGCCCUUUUGUUGAGAAAAAAAAGCAGCAGGUUAAUACCCCGCUGUUCUGACGGUACCCAAAGAAUAAGCACCGGCUAACUUCGUG
Molecule: ribosomal RNA, 492 nt
Filed under: uncultured bacterium
Lineage: Bacteria
Description: partial 16S ribosomal RNA
Rfam family: Bacterial small subunit ribosomal RNA
Source: RNAcentral